RNAcentral lists this ribosomal RNA (484 nucleotides) under uncultured bacterium. RNAcentral describes it as "partial 16S ribosomal RNA". It matches the Rfam family "Bacterial small subunit ribosomal RNA", at positions 30 to 507 of the family's 1533-position model. The record is from RNAcentral.
AUUGAACGCUGGCGGCAGGCCUAACACAUGCAAGUCGAGCGGCUGAAGGGAGCUUGCUCCUGGAUUCAGCGGCGGACGGGUGAGUAAUGCCUAUGAAUCUGCCUGGUAGUGGGGGAUAACGUCCGGAAACGGGCGCUAAUACCGCAUACGUCCUGUGGGAGAAAGUGGGGGAUCUUCGGACCUCACGCUAUCAGAUGAGCCUAGGUCGGAUUAGCUAGUUGGUGGGGUAAAGGCCUACCAAGGCGACGAUCCGUAACUGGUCUGAGAGGAUGAUCAGUCACACUGGAACUGAGACACGGUCCAGACUCCUACGGGAGGCAGCAGUGGGGAAUAUUGGACAAUGGGCGAAAGCCUGAUCCAGCCAUGCCGCGUGUGUGAAGAAGGUCUUCGGAUUGUAAAGCACUUUAAGUUGGGAGGAAGGGCAGUAAGUUAAUACCUUGCUGUUUUGACGUUACCAACAGAAUAAGCACCGGCUAACUUCGUG